UCUGCUUCCAGUGCAGACAGAAGACUUCCCAGCACCAGAAAGGCAAGCUGUACUGUCCCAUGCCUUCUGCCUCAAGGGAGCCUGGUGCCAAGCCAAGGUAUCUCCACUCUACCUUCACAAGACUUUAUUCUACAUGCUUUGGUGGCGGAAUAUUUCUGGGAUGCUAUGGCUGGAUUUUCACUCGAUCCCCAAGCUCCUGACCAUUGUGUUUGGGCUACACUUCAUUGGACUGGGCUUGCCAAGGAAACAAAACAAUGCCGUCCAGGGAUCAUGCUCAGGACGGCCCUGAUCCUCUCUGCCCUGUGUGGCCUGGCCGUGGCUUUCCCGGCUCUGCCCUCCGAAUUAACUGCUGACAUACCAGAAUGGAUCUCUGAUCUAGAGCUGACCACUGGCGCAGACUUAACCACAGACCUAGCGGCAGUCACAGAUGGAGUCUCCACCACGGAGCUGGACCCGACUGGGGACACAGAGUCCACCACAGCUGAGUAUCGGGAGAGCACACAGACUGUCGAAUCUGCUACUUUCGAGGAGUCAGCCACCUCCAGCCUUGUGGGAGAAGCUACUGAGACCACAGUUUACUACGACACUUUUCAGACAGAGAGCUUUGUGACUGAUGACCAUGGUUUUAAUUAUUCUGAUGAGCAGGGUGAAGCAACUGGUAAGGACAAAGAUCUUUGCUUUAAUUCUCUAUUCUUGGCCUUUGAGGGGUGUCUAUUCUCGUAAGUCAUUCCUGGACAGACACAAUGGCUCGCUGCCCCAUUUUCUGCCUUUCUUAUGUAGGUACCAUGCUUGCUCAGUUGAGUCCUCUCUUGGGAGGGAGAGAUAAGUGGUGCCAGCACAGGCAGGCCUAUCUGGUUUGAGUGCUGCUCCUGGGAACUUCUGAGUGGAAGUGGAGACAAAACCUUCAACCAAAUAUUUUUCAUGGGGUGCAUUUCAUUCCAUGUCCACUGGCUACAUGUCAGCCCUGGAAGAGUGCCUUGGCGAUUGGGACAAGAAGUGUUUUGGUGCCAUUGACUUCGUUGAGUUCACUUUAAUGAACGCUUUGAAGCUGUUUAACAGAAUGCUAGACGUGUUGUGAGUGUUAUUUAUUUGCAGAUGAAUAAAACCAUUUCUUAUUUGCA
RNAcentral lists this long non-coding RNA (1121 nucleotides) under Oryctolagus cuniculus (rabbit). Its description in RNAcentral is "lncRNA (ENSOCUG00000033269.1)". Lineage: Eukaryota; Metazoa; Chordata; Mammalia; Lagomorpha; Leporidae. The record is from RNAcentral.